UCCGGCUUAUCACCGGCGGUUACCUUAGAGUACCCAACUAAAUGCUGGCAACUAAGGUCGAGGGUUGCGCUCGUUGCGGGACUUAACCCAACAUCUCACGGCACGAGCUGACGACAGCCAUGCAGCACCUGUCACCUAUCCAGCCGAACUGAAGGGAUCCAUCUCUGGAUCCCGCGAUAGGGAUGUCAAACGCUGGUAAGGUUCUGCGCGUUGCUUCGAAUUAAACCACAUGCUCCACCGCUUGUGCAGGCCCCCGUCAAUUCCUUUGAGUUUUAAUCUUGCGACCGUACCCCCCAGGCGGAUAACUUAAUGCGUUAGCUGCGCCACCCAGGCUCCAUGAGCCCGGACAGCUAGUUAUCAUCGUUUACGGCGUGGACUAC
RNAcentral lists this unclassified non-coding RNA (380 nucleotides) under uncultured Sphingomonadaceae bacterium. RNAcentral describes it as "contains 16S-23S intergenic spacer region". Lineage: Bacteria; Pseudomonadati; Pseudomonadota; Alphaproteobacteria; Sphingomonadales; Sphingomonadaceae. The record is from RNAcentral.